UGGAACCUAGGAGGUCAAGGCUGUAGUGAGCCACGAUCAUGCCACUGCAUUCCCACAUGGGUGACAGAGUGCAACUUGGUCUCAAAAAUAAUAAUGUUUGAGGAAUCAUUCCAUUUAAGCAGGUACUAAAGAAGAAAUUAAGGGCUCUUCCUUGCUGAAAGCUUUCUCCCGAGAAACAGAAACUUGGCAUCUUCAUGCAAAACUUCAAAUGACUUAUUAUUAGGUCAAUAAAAAUGAAAUGGUGUUGAAGCACUAAGAUUGUUAAAGAAGCUUAAAGAUUCUAUUACCAUAUUAGUGUUUACACAGUAGUGUAUCAACUUUUAUUCAACAUUACCUCCUUGCUUUAUUGAGGCAAAUAUAUUUUGUAUAAAGUAUUGAGAAUAUCUGAGGUGGUUCCUGUACCUCUUCUGUGUUCUCAGUCUUAUCUUGGUAUAUAAAACCAUUCAGGCUUUAGGAGUAUCAUUUUUUUCUAGAUAGAAUUUUCCAGAUGAACCUAUAAUAUUCUGGAAUAAACAACAAACCAUUGUUUAUAAAAUUUAGAACAACUUUGAUAAGCCUCAAGAUUCCAUAGCAGGACCAUUGCAAUUCAGAUAACUGGAUGAGGCAGGGUAGCAUAGAGCACUAGAAACUUAAUUCUGUUGCUAACGGACAUGUGAUCUUGGGCUAAUCAUUUAAACCCUGCUAGUUAGAUCUCAGCAUUCUCCUGGAAAUAAAAUUAUUGCUCUCUGUUCUCCAGAGUCCAUACCUAUUUUAUAGUUCUCAGAAAUUCCCAAUGAGCUUUACAAGGUGUCUCCAAGCAGAGUUCCUUGUGGUAUUGUCUCCUGCGGGGCAGAAAUCCCAUAGGAAAGUGGAGUAGUCAUGACGAUUGUGUGAUUUACAAUCCACCACAGGAAACUUGUAGAAUUCCUUAGAAAACAAAGUGGGUUCUACUAUCUCUUGGGUCUGUUAUUCCCCCUUGAGAAGCCUUUUUUAUUAUUCUCCCUCUUUUCCUCUUCUUGGCUCUUCACCACAACCCAGGAUGACUACACAACCUAUUUUCACCACCUGUCUUUUUUGCAAUCAUUAUUACCUUUUCUCAGCUGCAGUUUCACCCUGAGGCUUUGGCAACUGAAGUUGUAUAAAUAAAACAGUUACUGUGCCUGGGCAACUUGCUACACUUACCACAGGCUGCCUCAUAUUGUUUUCUUACUAACAUUUUAAUCACUUUGGAUUCUGGUUUGGAUUGCACGUUCACUUCUUUUUCUCUUUGUUUCAUAGAAGCCAUUGUGCGAUUAAAGAAGUAAAAGGCUAUACAAAUAAGUAUUUAUUGAACGCUGUUCCUUGCCCAGCAUUAUGUUAAAUACAGAUACAAAUAAAUGAGACAAUUCUGAAUUUUCCAGUUUUCUGUUCCAAUGGAUAUUACAGCUCAUAGAAGAGAUGAAGAAGACACCUCCUAUCCACGUAUUGAAAAAAAUCCAACAUUGGUCACAGACUCUCCUUGGGAAGACAGUCUUCCCUUGGUGUCUGGUCAAUAGCAGGAUGCCCGCCUUGUCCUUUCACCAGUCAUACGGCCCAGAACCCCAGGUGGGGACACCCACUGGGGAUCCUAGUGGUUGCUCUCCUCCUCGUCUCUUUCUCCCCAACCCUCUCUGGUCUAUCAUGAGCAACCUUCUUCCCUCCAUCCCUCCCUCUUCUCCUUUGGCCUGUGUCAAGAACCUUAAACCCCUUUAGUUUUUAUCUGAACUAAAACCAAAAUGUCUAAUUUUUUUCUGUAACAUGGCCUGGCCUCAAUAUAAAGUAGACAAUGGCUCCCAGUGGCCAGAAAAUGGCACUUUUGAUUUCUCUAUUUUGUGGAACAUAAACAAUUUUUGUCAUAGAAUGAGCAAAUGGUCUGAAGUACCCUACAUUCAGGCAUUUUUUACACUCCAAUCUCUCCCUAAUUUCUGCUCUCAGUGUAACCCACCCCAAAUUUUCCUUCUCUCCCUUCCAUCCAUACCUCCUGCCUCUGCCAAUGACACAGAAUCCUCCUUGUCCAUUGACCCUUCCGACCUUUCUCCUCCCUGCCUGUCUGAACAAGGCCCUAAUCCCCCCUCCCCAAGACUUUCUCUUCUUCCUCUGCCUGCAACCCACCUCCUUAUGCCUCUCCCAUCACCACCCCACCUCAUACCAAAUCCGGCUUAUAAUUUGGUCUGGCACCCAUGGCUAACUCCCCCUCCCCUGUCCAACAGUUUCACCUUCACAAGGUGCCUGGCUACACAGGAAUAGUCCAGUUGCACGUCCCUUUUUCUCUAUCUGACCUCUCCCAAAUCGGUCAAUGUCUAGGCUCUCCCCUCAGACCCCACCAAGUAUAUAUAUAUAAGAAUUCCAAUACUUAACCCAGUCUUAUAUCUCACCUGGAGUGACUUAAAUGUCAUCCUUACUUCUACUCUCACCCCAGAAGAAUGAGAAUGGGUUUGGACCCUAGCUCAGUCUUACACAGAUGAUUGCUGGCGCCUUGAACCUGGCCUUCGGGAAGGUGCCAGGGCAGCACCCUGAGAAGACCCCCAAUAGGACUACCAGACAGGAACCCCUGGCAUUGCCAGCUGAGAUUACAUGAUCUCCUGUCUAGUUGAAGGGCUUCAAAAGGCAGCAUAUAAGGCCGUCAAUUACGACAAACUAAAAGAGACCACUUGUAACAAAGAUGAAAAUUCUGCUCAGUUUAUGGCCCAUCUAGCUGCCGCCCUCAGGCAAUAUAGAGCAUUAGAACCUGAAGGGCCUGAAGGCUGCCAUAUUCUUAACAUGCAUUUUAUCACCUUAUCAGCCCCUGACAUUAGAAAAAAGCUACAGAAAUUAGAGUCUGGCCCUCAAACGCCACAACAGGAACUAAUCAACCUCGCCUUCAAGGUGUUCAACAAUAGGGAAGAAGGAAAACUACAGAUGUUUGCUUCUGCUGUAAAACAAACACCAGCCACACCACAGGCCCCAAAAAACUUCAAAGCGCCCAGACUGCAGCGUCCAGCUGCCCCUCUGGACCCUGCUUCAAGUGUAAAAAACCUGGCCACUGGGCCAAGGAAUGCCUGCAGCCCAGGCUUCCUCCUAAGCCCUGCCCCGUCUGUGCAGGCCUCCGCUGGAAGUCAGACUGUCCAACUCAUAUCGCUGACCCCAGAGCUCCUGGAGCUCCAACCGGAAGCUCCCUGACCAAGCCAUUCCCCGAUCUCCUCGGUUUGGUGGCUGAAGACUGAUGCUUCCCAAACAUCUUGCAGGCUUCUUGGAUCAUCGCAGACCCCGAACUUCAGCACCCCAACUGCUGUCCGAUUGCAAGACCCCCCCCCGCCGGGGAGUACACCACUCCAGGGUAAAGCUGUGUCCACCGGAUGAGCAGCCUGACUCUUCCACCUCUUCUUGGAAGUUGCAAGGACUCUCCCAACUUCUCUAAAACUUACCCGAAUUCCUGAAGAGACUUAAAUGCCUGGGUACUGCCUACCUUGCUGCUUCACCCUCUUCCUCCACUGUUUGCCAAGAAAUUUCCUGAUUCCACCCCCAGGCCACCACCCUUAACUCUCUUCUAGAGUGGAUAGAUGACCUUGUUUUCUAAGGCACCCUGUGUGUCUUCUCCCCCAAUGAAGUACAACUGUUUACCUUCCCCCUCAUUGUUUGACUGUCUAUUCCUCCUGCUCCCUUGGCUGCCCCACAUUGCUGCACCUCCCCUUCCUAUUAGUGCCAUCUACCUCUACAAAACCCUUAACUUAACCCAUUCUUUGCUGAACCAACCAAACCCAACCCUAGCAAAAGGUUGCUGGCUUUGCAACUCUGUCAGCUAUAACUUAUGUUGCCACUCCUGUACCUGCAAAGACUUGGGUUCUUACUCACCUAACCUAUCACCCUCACUAUGAAGGAAAACGUCCCUUCCAACUCUUAAAUAUGCAGCCACUAGCCGAGUUCUCCAUCACUGACAUGUCUAAACAUACCCUGACAGGACACACCGUACAGAUUCUUCGCUCCUACAUUUCUAUCCUCACUCCGUACACAGGUGAUAACAAACCCAUACACGGUUCUGUAACCACAAAUACUGUUUUAACUUCCCAGGCCCCUUUAUGCUUCCAUCACAAUCUAUCCUCAGGCCUACCUCUUGGCCACCUACUACCCAUCAGUGCAACUUUACCUUACAACUCCAAGCCCCAACUGACUAUCAGAACUUUCUGGUAACCCAGACUGCUUCAUUUAGCCAACCUGUCUUCUUUACAGGACCCCUAAAAGUCAGUACCACCUCUUUGCUUAACAAACAGUCAGGGUUUUUGUUGGCAGACAUACUCCUUGCAUGACUAUUCACCCCCAGACCCAUUGCAACAUAGCUCCCACAACUAAUGAGUGCCUUCUUAUACCCACUUUUAGCCACUCCUCUGAAUGGCUCCUAGUAGAAACAAAACAGUACCUCCUCCAGUGGGAAAACAAAACAAAUGGAGCCAUUCACUUUACCCCAACAACCGCUUUCCAGCCACUCACUGGGGCCAUCUUAGCAGGAACCCUGGGCGUAUGGGAACAUGAAAAUAAUAACCUCACACACCUCUUCAAAAUACACAAUCAGUUCUGCUUAUCUAGCCAAGCAAUAUUUUUCUUAUGCAGGACCUCAACUUACCUCUGCCUCCCCACUAACUGGACUGGCAUCUGCACCCUAGUCUUUCUAAGCCCCAAAAUAGACAUUGCCCCAGGGAACCAAAGGUUACUAAUCCCCAUUAAAGCCCAGGUUCAUCAGCUCAGAGCCACACAGCUAGUACCCCUGGUAACCACUAGGAAUUGCAACUGCUACAGGGACAGGAAUAGCAGGGCUGUCCACAUCCUUGUCUUACUAUCAUGCUCUUUCUAAAGAUCUGUCAGACAAUCUAGAAGAUACAGCAAAAUCCAUCCUUGCUCUCCAAUCUCAGAUAGAUUCUUUAGCAGCAGUUACACUUUAAAACCAUCGAGGUUAGACCUCACUGCCAAAAAAGGCAGGCUAUCUACCUUUCCAGGAGAAGAGUGCUGUUUUUACACUAACCAGUCUGGCCUGGUACGAGAUGCCACCCGAUGGUUAACUGAAAAUGCCUCUAAAAUUGGGCAAUGCAUUUCAGACUCCUGGAGGAAUCUUUGGAGCUGGGCACCAUGGUUCCUUCCGCUAGCUGGCUCCCUUGUUUCUGUCAUUCUCCUUCUCUUGUUUGGACCCUGUCUUCCAACUAGUUUGUCAGUUGAAUAAGGACAGCUUGGAGGAUAGAAGCAAGAUGGAGUUGGUUAGGUCAGAUUUCUUUUACUGUCUGAGUCAGAAUUUUGCAAUGGUAGUUUCGAAAGCUGCUUACUACCCCAUUUGAAAGUACCUCAUACACUCAUGGUGAAAUCAUAACCUUAAUUGAGGCCUCUUUGUUUCACCUGUGAGGUUACUUUUGAUAAAGCCAAAGGAAGAAAGAGAAGACAGGAGACAAACUGUUUGGAAAGCUUAGCCUUCCCUCUUAAUGAGUAAAGAUUUUUGCCUUGUUUUAAAACUUUUGAGUCCUAAUUUUGGCAAAAAUAAAUAACUUAUGGUAAUCUG
Sapajus apella (tufted capuchin) is the source of this 5515-nucleotide long non-coding RNA. RefSeq lists it as uncharacterized. The transcript has 3 exons. The record is from RefSeq and is a predicted model, not a curated record. Lineage: Eukaryota; Metazoa; Chordata; Mammalia; Primates; Cebidae.